RNAcentral lists this ribosomal RNA (492 nucleotides) under uncultured bacterium. RNAcentral's name for it is "partial 16S ribosomal RNA". It matches the Rfam family "Bacterial small subunit ribosomal RNA", at positions 29 to 507 of the family's 1533-position model. The record is from RNAcentral.
AGUGAACGCUGGCGGUAGGCCUAACACAUGCAAGUCGAACGGCAGCACAGUAAGAGCUUGCUCUUACGGGUGGCGAGUGGCGGACGGGUGAGGAAUACAUCGGAAUCUACUUUUUCGUGGGGAAAACGGAGGGAAACUUACGCCUAUCACGCAAUCUACCUACCGGGUUAAGCCGGGGGUCAUCGGCCCUUUUGCUGUUUCAUGUAGCUGUGUCCGGAUUAGCUAGUUGGGGGGGUAAGGGCCCACCAAGGCAACGAUCCGUAGCGGAUCUGAGAGGAUGAUCAGCCACACUGGAACUGAGACACGGUCCAGACUCCUACGGGAGGCAGCAGUGGGGAAUAUUGGACAAUGGGCGCAAGCCUGAUCCAGCCAUGCCGCGUGAGUGAAGAAGGCCUUCGGGUUGUAAAGCCCUGUUGUUGGGAAAGAAAAGCAGCAGGUUAAUACCCCGCUGUUCUGACGGUACCCAAAGAAUAAGCAACGGCUAACUUCGUG